GUCUAUGGUCAUGCUACCCUGAACAAGCCCAAUCCCAUCUGAUCUCGGAAGCAAAGCAAGGUCUGGCCUGGUUAGUACAUGGAUGAGAGACCACCUAGCAAGACCAGGUCCUAUAGGCA
RNAcentral lists this ribosomal RNA (119 nucleotides) under Pteropus alecto (black flying fox). Lineage: Eukaryota; Metazoa; Chordata; Mammalia; Chiroptera; Pteropodidae. The record is from RNAcentral.